Heterocephalus glaber (naked mole-rat) is the source of this 90-nucleotide non-coding RNA. The record is from Rfam. NCBI's taxonomy places the organism in Eukaryota, Metazoa, Chordata, Mammalia, Rodentia, Bathyergidae.
CCCUGGGCCGUGCCUCCAGGACUGUCCAACCUGAGAAUGCUGUGUCCAGGUCAGUCUCAGGUUUGUCAGCCUGUGAGGUGCUGCCCUUUC